This 460-nucleotide ribosomal RNA is filed under the name uncultured bacterium. RNAcentral describes it as "partial 16S ribosomal RNA". It matches the Rfam family "Bacterial small subunit ribosomal RNA", at positions 338 to 795 of the family's 1533-position model. The record is from RNAcentral.
CCUACGGGGGACAGCAGUGAGGAAUAUUGGUCAAUGGACGAGAGUCUGAACCAGCCAAGUAGCGUGAAGGAUGACUGCCCUAUGGGUUGUAAACUUCUUUUAUAAAGGAAUAAAACGCGGCACGUGUGCCUUUUUGCAUGUACUUUAUGAAUAAGGAUCGGCUAACUCCGUGCCAGCAGCCGCGGUAAUACGGAGGAUCCGAGCGUUAUCCGGAUUUAUUGGGUUUAAAGGGAGCGUAGAUGGGUUGUUAAGUCAGUUGGGAAAGUUUGCGGCUCAACCGUAAAAUUGCAAUUGAAACUGGCAGUCUUGAGUACAGGUGAGGUAGGCGGAAUUCGUGGUGUAGCGGUGAAAUGCUUAGAUAUCACGAAGAACCCCGAUUGCGAAGGCAGCUUACUAAACUGUGACUGACAUUGAUGCUCGAAAGUGUGGGUAUCAAACAGGAUUAGAUACCCGGGUAGUC